UGAAUCAGGAUGAUUGUGGAUGUGUUUUUCAGUGAGGAAUGAAACUGCAGCGACUCCAAACUCAGAUCUCCUGAAUGAAGUGACUCCAGAUCUCCAUCAUUCAGUAGAUCACUUCUGGUGGCUUUUGGCUGUUUUCAUCAUUGUUCUUCUCAUCAUCUUCUUGAUCCGUAAAAGGAUCUUCAGAUGUUUUCAGAGGUUCAUCUGUCAGCGUGACGAAGAUGAUUCAGAAAACAGGGAUCCUGAAGCUGCUGUCCAAAUGAUCUGAUGCUCCUGAUUCACUGAAUCAAUCUGAAUCUGAACAGUUAAACGGCUCCCUGUCCAGGGUUUGAAUCGACUCCUUAUUUACUCAAACUCAGGGCUUAACGUCACUGUGAUCUUUGACAUGAAGAUGAAGGAAGUUUGUGUUCAUUCUGAGCUUCUCAACAGAUUUAUUCUCCAUCAUCUGCAUCUGUAAUUCAAAUAAAUACAUGAAAUGGAAAAACA
This is a long non-coding RNA of Cyprinus carpio (common carp), 483 nucleotides long. Lineage: Eukaryota; Metazoa; Chordata; Actinopteri; Cypriniformes; Cyprinidae. The record is from Ensembl.